AUAUAAAGAAGGCCGAAUUAAAAUUAGCGGGGAAACCGUUUUUUUGGGGUGAAUUCCAAAUAUACUGGAAAGGGUAUCCCUUAAUCCUAACCCGUCAGCUAACCUCGCAGGCGACUAAGGGAAGAGAU
This 128-nucleotide small RNA is filed under the name Deltaproteobacteria bacterium. Its description in RNAcentral is "c-di-AMP sequence". It matches the Rfam family "c-di-AMP riboswitch aptamer (ydaO/yuaA leader)". From Rfam's summary of the family: This family represents a conserved RNA structure found upstream of the ydaO and yuaA genes in Bacillus subtilis and related genes in other bacteria. The record is from RNAcentral. Lineage: Bacteria; Pseudomonadati; Myxococcota; Myxococcia.